UAGAAUAUCGUUCACCCGCGCCAAUCGCGGCUGUUAUAGAGUUAUAGACUUAAUUUGUCAAACGCUCCUGAAGAACUCCUGUUAAUCUUAGGUCGUAGUGUUAUCAUGUCGAUAAGGUUGUGUCGAUUCAAUAGUCCUGAUACUUGUGCUUGCUUUGAUUCCCUCUUCCGAUUAUGUAAUCAUUUAUGUAAAUGGAGCAAGAAAUUAUUCGGAUCGCAGCUACAGAAAUCAGGUGCAUAGGCGUACAUUCAGUCUGAAACUAGAUAGUGUUAAAAUAAUUCAUUCCAAGGUAUAUUUAAACUGACACAGUUAACACGGAACACACGCACUUACCUAAGCACUAUAGUUGAACGCGAGAUUAGUUAAGUAUACGGUGUUAGUAUUUUUUCAUUCUUAUAAUUCGUUAAAUGGAUCAUCUAAGAGGAAAUGUUGCUGUGGUAACUGGAUCCAGUGCUGGUAUCGGAGAAGCAUUGGCGAUUAAGCUAGUCAAAGCUGGGCUCAUCGUUGUGGGGAUAGCUAGAAGGAUUCAUAGACUUCAGGUAUUGCAAAAAAAAAUGGAAGAUAAUAAUUUUUCUGGACAGUUUCAUCCAUUGGAAUGUGAUUUAACAAAUGAAAAUGACAUAUUUAAAGCUUUUAAAUGGAUUGAUGAAAACAUCGGUGGUAUACAUUUUCUUAUCAACAAUGCUGGAAUCGUAAGGUUUUCACCCAUUUUAAGUGGUUGUUCGAAUGAUUGGAAAGAAAUAAUUGACUGCAAUGUAUUGGCACCUACAAUCUGUUCAAGGGAAGCUUAUAGAUUGAUGAAAAAGUACAAAAUCACUCGAGGUCAUAUUAUUCAAAUCAACAGCUUAACGGGCCAUUCGUAUUCGGUGAACCCUGGAAACAAGAUGUACAACGCGUCCAAACAAGCUCUUAGAGUGUUGACCGAAGGGCUUCGCCACGAAUUAGCCGCAGCCGGAGAUGACCACAUCAAAGCUUCUAGCAUCAGUCCCGGUUUUGUGGACACGGAAAUAUUCGAAGCGGCCAAAAUACCACACGUCAAAUUGAACUCUUCUGUGACGCUGAGCUCAGAGGAAAUGGCCGAUAUGAUUGUUUUCGUUAUGUCAACUGGAUCCAAUAUAUUGUAUCUACAAAUUAAUCAAGACCCCAUUGUCCCAGCUGGCAUGGUUAUGUCACUAAUCAGUGCCGCACUCCUCUCCAUGGCGUCCUUGGCGAAUUUUAUUUUGGUGCUUAUUUUAUACAAAAAAAAAAAAUAAAUAAUUUAAAUGAAACUCCCAUUACAUUGCUGCAUUCUUGGCCAACCCUACAUUUCGCCAAACUUAAGUUAAGAUUGCUGAAAUGAUUGUUCUCAGUCAAGGGCGUACUAUCCAAACGUACAAAACUUCAUAAUAAUAUGGAUUAAACAUUGU
This is an RNA transcript of Sipha flava (yellow sugarcane aphid), 1406 nucleotides long. It is a transcript of the gene named farnesol dehydrogenase-like, with no coding region annotated. The transcript has 8 exons. The record is from RefSeq and is a predicted model, not a curated record. Lineage: Eukaryota; Metazoa; Arthropoda; Insecta; Hemiptera; Aphididae.